This 27-nucleotide ribosomal RNA is filed under the name Marinomonas sp. BSi20414. The record is from RNAcentral. Lineage: Bacteria; Pseudomonadati; Pseudomonadota; Gammaproteobacteria; Oceanospirillales; Oceanospirillaceae.
CACCUGAUCCCAUCCCGAACUCAGAAG